This 441-nucleotide ribosomal RNA is filed under the name uncultured bacterium. Its description in RNAcentral is "partial 16S ribosomal RNA". It matches the Rfam family "Bacterial small subunit ribosomal RNA", at positions 338 to 795 of the family's 1533-position model. The record is from RNAcentral.
CCUACGGGCGGCAGCAGUGGGGAAUAUUGCACAAUGGGGGAAACCCUGAUGCAGCGACGCCGCGUGAGUGAAGAAGUAUUUCGGUAUGUAAAGCUCUAUCAGCAGGGACGAAAAAAAACGGUACCUCACUAAGAAUCCCCGCCUAACUCCGGGCCACAAGCCCCGGUAAUACGUAGGGGGCAAGCGUUAUCCGGAUUUACUGGGUGUAAAGGGAGCGUAGACGGUAUGGCACGUCUGAAGUGAAAGCCCAGGGCUUAACCCUGGGACUGCUUUGGAAACUGUUAGACUAGAGUGAUGGAGAGGGCAGUGGAAUUCCUAGUGUAGCGGUGAAAUGCGUAGAUAUUAGGAGGAACACCAGUGGCGAAGGCGGCUUACUGGACAGUAACUGACGUUGAGGCUCGAAAGCGUGGGGAGCAAACAGGAUUAGAUACCCUGGUAGUC